CUCGGCCGAGAUCCGAGGAGUCUCGCUGGGAAAGUUCAUUUUUCACCCGUUUUUGCGUAUUUUUGCGUUUUAAACCCAUUUUUAAUUAUUUUAACAUAGGAUUUUCACCCAAAACUUUAUUUUAAAUUAUAAGACCCCUAAAUUAAUGAUUUAAUCACAUUUUAAGGAUAAAAUCUUAUUUAAAAAGGAGUUGGUAAAGUACAAAAGAAGAGUGUUGACCUUACUUUAGUUUAUGACGCAAGCAACCCCCACACCCACUCCAUGACAACCCACACUCCUCCCCACCAUACCUUGUACCUUUUACUCCCUUUCACAAGUAACCCCCACAAUCUAAGGGCUGAUCUUACAACCUCUCUCCUCAUUCUCUUCAAACACUCUCAAAUUACACCAAGAUUGAACUCCAACUUUUUCUCUCCAACUUCUCUCUCUAACUCACGAUCUCAAGGCUGAUCAUCAAGUGUUCUUCCACUCUUGGUAAGUGUAAUCCACCCUCCUUGUGAUUCUUACACUUCAUUCUACUCAAAUCACCGAUAGCUCAUACAAACUCCAUAACUAUCAUGCUAGAUUCUCGAAAAUCUUCAAGACAUUUCCAAGUGUCCUUGAGUUAAGCACCUCCAUUCUUCAACAAUCAUCUACUGAAAACACUUAAGGUGAGUUCAUACCCCUACAUUUUCAUGUUUUCUCAAGUUUUUAGGGGGGGAAUACAAGCCAAAACACCAAGAACAUAUCUAAAUUCUUCUAACAGCUUUCAUCAGAAAAGUUGGACUCCAUUCACGGACUGUUUUGGACACCCUAAACAUUUUAGUUUUCAAAACUGUUUUACGUGCAUGUAGUUCCACUUCUUAACUUUAAAAUGACUACUUGCACAUCUCCAUACGAUUUUUCUACAAUUUAUGGUGAUUUUUACAAAACUGCCUAUCAUUUCAAACACCAAUCCGGACCAGUCUGUGAUUAUGGACUUUUUCACCUAAGUUGCAGGUCAUUAAAAAUCAUGAUAAAAAUUAUGAGUAAACUAGACACAUUUUGGGAACUCCCAAAAUUUACGGAUUUAGUUUUCGACUUCGUAUAAUUUUUCUAUGAAUUUCCAAAAACAGUGUAGAAAGGCUGAAAAUUUGUUAAUAGCUUGUAAUUCUUAUAACACUUUGUAUUAUGUUGAGCAAAGUGUAUAAUGUCAAGUUCUAAGUAUUGAAUGUGAUACGUUGUAAAUCUUCUCAUCCUAAACUGAAAAUAGGUCAUUCAUGAUAAGAUUAUUCAUCUAUUUAGAACACGCAAAUAUAUAAACUAUAAUAAGCAUAGUUUAAUGGAUUUCAUAAUCCUAACGCUUUUUCAUAAAAGAGUUCUUACAUAUUACAAACAUUUUGGAUAAACUAUAAUAGGUAUAGUUUAUGAUACAUCACAUGACACACACGUACGAAAAGGGUACAUUCAUACAGAAAGAUUUUACACUCCCGCAUACAACUUGUAAACUUGUUAACCUAAAUUGUGAGACAUUCUCUUUCCGUACGUCCGAGUGCGGGAUAUAAAAUCCUGUUCGUUAUAAUCAGAGUCUCCUAGAGGGAGAACGUGAUAGUUGUAUAUAGAUCUAUAUUGGGUUUGACACCCCACACCUUGCUGCUAGCUACAGUUGGACCUGCAGGUCUACGGGUGACAAAUGUCAUUUCAGUUUUUAUUCGAUGCCUGAGAAACGUCGUAGCAGGUUCAUUUAGUCUUAAGUAUGAUUAUAGCGGCUCACAUAAGGAUAUAACAAUACAUAAAGUUUACGGGAUUUUUAUAAAACUUGAAUGAGUUUUAUGUCGAUUUUAAAAUCACUUUUAUCUCAAUAAAUACAGGUAUUACUGUACGUUUCCGGUUUUGGUAUUUAUGACUACACAUCAUGUGAUACCACAUUUAUAACUUUAAGUAUGGACAAUACUUAUUAUUUUCUUGGUCCUGAGAUUUAGGACUACUCGUACAGAAAAUAUUAACAAAUUUAAGAAAUUACGAGAGUUUCACUAAUAUCAUAUGCGUUUAAAUUGAAAUAAACAUACAUUAUUUUCUGUAAAUAAGGAAGAUUACUCAUACAUUACAGUCUUUGGAUACAAGACUACAUUAUUCAUUUUAAGAAAAAUAUCAGAUUUUUCUGGAACAACUAGGCCAUUACUUGACGAGCUUUUUCAUAAAGAUAUACAAAAACUUAUGAACUCACCAACCAUUGUGUUGACACUUUUUCAAACUGCUUGUAUUCUCAGGAAAUCGCUAAACAGGUAACAAAGUACUUUUGAGGAUGGGACGUUGAGGCGUCAAACUUAUCAUAUUUUGUCAACAUAUUGUAAUUGAAUUUGAAACAUGUAAUUCAUACAAUGAUGUAACUUUUUCAAUUAUAUAUAUGUUGGUUGUGUUUACUUUCAUCACUAUUACCAUUGUUGUUAUGAUACUACACAUGAAGUCCUCCAUCCCUGGACGUUUCCGCCAUCCUUGGUUCAGGGGUGUGACACUCACACUUGGAUCAAGGAAAGUCACAAGGUUAUCAAAAAGCUAGUAAUUGAUUCCGUUUUGUUCAUGUCCGUCAUUACCAUCGUUUCGGUAAUGACUAAGAAGAUGAUUGUUAUUCUGACCCUAGUGGUCAUAUCAAAUUGAGUCCCACUAAGAUGAGUAUGUUACGUGGUUCAUAUAAGUAAGUUCGAUGUAGCAUCUGACUUAAGCCAGAAGAUUGAAGUGAAAGAUAAUUGAAUCAAUCAAUAAAAGUUUCGCGAUCGUUGUUAAAGAAAAGAAGCUUGUAGCUAGAAAUGCUAUCUGCUAGAAUGUGAUUAUAUCAUAUUAUAACAUGAAGGAAGGUAUAUCCUGUUCUGGAAUUUAACUCUAAAAAUGACCUGAGUCUAAGCGUUGCAUCAUACGAUCAGAGGUCAUUAGAACAUGACCCAUCGGUCCAUUAUGGUAAUCAAAGAACUUAUCCUAAGUUUGUUAAAAAAGAGUCUCCGAUAAAGAUCGAGAUUGUAACAUGAAGGUCAUGAUCAAAAGUCUAACAUAAGAUAGAUAACGGGUGCAAGGUUGAGCACCGCCUGCGGUUAAGAAGACCAAGAGUUAGAUACCCAUUCAAAGGAACAUAGAAGUUUCAGUUAUUACCUAGGAUGAAGAGAUAAAGUAUGGAGUCAAUAUACAAGCCCUGUUUCGUUGAUGAUUCCGGGACGUAAUCAUCCUAAGGGGGAGAUAAUUGUAACGCUCGCAGAUUUAGGCUAGUCAAUUUAGAGACAAUAAGUGUCAAUAAUGAAUUUUUGAUAGAAGAUUAUUUAGAAUAAAUAAUGUUAACUAAGCUGUAGUAUAUGUUACAAGGGUUCCGUACAUAUAAAGAACAUCGAAAUCCGAGUUAUGACGAAGAAGUUAUGGCUCGUCGAAGUCUCGCAACAAAACCUGCACAACGCUGUGUGACGUAAAAAGUGAGUUUAAGAUAAAAUACUUUUAGCCUUGGUAAACUAAACAAAAUUCGUAGUAUUCAUUAAACCGAGAGCAUACAUGAAAAGAACGCCCAAAUUUUACUUCGUAUGAGAAAGUUAUGAGUUUUUCCAAGUUUCGGCACAACAGUGUGCAACCCGGAGUUCGAAUUUUAGAUCGACCAAUUUUUACCGAAACGAUCUAAAAGAGAAUCGAAUCUCGUUAAUAGUAGCUCAAAGGUAAAAAGAUUGACGAAAACGAACGUCGGAUGACAAAGUUAUGAAUUUUUAACGGACUUUUCCUGUCCCGGCCUGUUAACAAUAUAACUUUAAAAAUAAAGUCAAAAUUAGCUGACGGGGUCUAAACGAAAGUUGUAGAGUACGAUCCACCUACACGUGUGUGACAUCCUAAUUUUCAAGGCCAAAAAUUUCAUUUUUAAUUAUGAGAUUCAUAACAUAGUUUACCAAACAUUGCCAAUGUCAUAUCAAUUUAUAAAAAUAAUAACAACGUGUAUCUGAAAACCAUAUCAUCAAAAGUAACAAAAAUCAGAGUACAAUCCCAGAAAUCUCCACGCGGAAUCCAUAUGAGUGUGUGUGUGUGAUGCGUUGCUACACCGCCGACUCCUUCCCCUUAGAUGAAGAGGUACCUGAAACCAAAACUAAAACUGUAAGCACAAAGCUUAGUGAGUUCCCUCGUCAUACCCAUACCAAAAAAAUGCAUAAUCUUCGGUAUCUUUCAACCGGUAACUGGGAACUACCCUCCUUUUCGGUAUCUUUCAACCGGUAACUGGGAUACUACUCUCCCCUUCGGUAUCUUUCAACCAAUAAUUGGGAGUUACUCUCCCCGUCGGUAUCUUUCAACCGGUAUCUGGGAACUACCCUCCCCUACGGUAUCUUUCAACCGGUAACCGGGAGCUACCUUCCCCUUCAGUAUCUUUCAACCAGUAUCCAGGGAUGUGACAACCGUCAAUCUUCGGUCAAGUCAAAGUCAACAAAAGUCAACAAGUCAAACCGGUCAACUCAAUUUGCCGUGAGUACUAGAUUUUACGUUAUGUAACUUCUAAACAACUCUCUAUUCUAAUGAGAGAUCAUAAAUUGAAAAGUGCGUACAUCUAGACCUCCUUAACCUAAAACGGUGGUACGUAGAGAGCCAAACCGAUAAAACAAUGUUACAUACUCAUCGGGAGUAUGCAAGAUCCCUAAACAAGGCUUAGCGGAGUUUACGGACCUUGCAGUGCGUAGCUGGACACUCAAAAAGGUCACCAAUGAAACCUCUCCCACAUAUCUCUAAGUAUGUGAAAUCUCUCCCACAUAUCUCUAAGUAUGUGAAACCUCUCCCACAUAUCUCUAAGUAUGUGAAAUCUCUCCCACAUAUCUCUAAGUAUGUGAAACCUCUCCCACAUAUCUCUAAGUAUGUGAAACCUCUCCCACAUAUCUCUAAGUAUGUGAAACCUCUCCCACAUAUCUCUAAGUAUGUGAAAUCUCUCCCACAUAUCUCUAAGUAUGUGAAACCUCUCCCACAUAUCUCUAAGUAUGUGAAACCUCUCCCACAUAUCUCUAAGUAUGUGAAANNNNNNNNNNNNNNNNNNNNNNNNNNNNNNNNNNNNNNNNNNNNNNNNNNNNNNNNNNNNNNNNNNNNNNNNNNNNNNNNNNNNNNNNNNNNNNNNNNNNNNNNNNNNNNNNNNNNNNNNNNNNNNNNNNNNNNNNNNNNNNNNNNNNNNNNNNNNNNNNNNNAAAUCUCUCCAAGUAUGUCAAAUCUCUCCCAAAUCUCUCUAAGUAUGUGAAAUCUCUCUCACAUAUCUCUUUGUAUGUGAAAUCUCUCCAAGUAUGUCAAAUCUCUCCCAAAUCUCUCCAAGUAUGUCAAAUCUCUCCCAAAUCUCUCUAUGUAUGUGAAAUCUCUCUCACAUAUCUCUUUGUAUGUGAUACCUCUCCAAGUAUGUCAAAUCUCUCCUAAAUCUCUCCAAGUAUGUCAAAUCUCUCCCAAAUCUCUCUAAGUAUGUGAAAUCUCUCUCACAUAUCUCUUUGUAUGUGAAAUCUCUCCAAGUAUGUCAAAUCUCUCCCAAAUCUCUCUAAGUAUGUGAAAUCUCUCUCACGUAUCUCUUCGUAUGUGAAAUCUCUCCAAGUACGUCAAAUCUCUCCCAAAUCUCUCUGAGAACGAGGAAUCUCUCUCAAAUCUCUCUCGAAAUCUCUCCCAACUUUCUAUAAUCACUCGGGGCAUCCCGACCCUCGAAUUUGGCGAAAAUAGCCCAAGAACGGAAGUCUACGCGAAAAACGGACUUAAGGAAACGAACCCUCCGAACCGAAAGUACUAUUCAUGAACCGAACCGAAAGCACUAUUCAUGAGGGUCCGAACCGAAAGUACUGUUCAUAAGCUGGACCGAAGUUACUGUUCAUCGAACCGAACCUGGCAUUGAAGGAGAUCCGAACCGAACCCGGCAUAGAGGGAAGGUCCGAACCGAGAGUACUGUUCAUCAUUGUUCACAACAGUGCCUUCGGUUCUGGCCUCACUUCGGACCGAACCCCCUGAUUCGCUUCUCGCCUUCGCUUCGGACAGCAUCACCUCGGACCUAGCUUCGCUUCUCCUCCCGCCUCCUGACCCAGCCUACCGCGUCCGAACCGAGCCCCAUCUGACCGAACUUCGGCCCAGAGACCGAGCCUCGGCCGAGAUCCGAAGGGUCUCGCUGGGGCAGCUCGGAUUUCGCCCAUUUUUGCGUAUUUUUGCGUUUUAAACCCAUUUUUAAUUGUUUUAAUAUGGGAUUUUCACCAAAAACUUUAUUUUUAAUUAUAAGACCCCUAAAUUAAUGAUUUAAUCACAUUUUAAAGAUAAAAUCUUAUUUAAAAAGGAGUUGGUAAAGUACAAAAAGAAGAGUGUUGACCUUACCUUAGUUAUGACGCAAGCAACCCCAUGUCCACUCCAUGACAACCCACACUCCUCCCCACCAUACCUUGUNCCUUGUACUUUUUACCUCCCUCACAAGCCAUCUCCAUGCUUUGAGAGCUGGAUAUUCAUCCUCUCUCCUCAUUUUCUCUCAUUUGUUCUCAUUUCACAAGAAAAUCAAACUCCUUUCUCUCUCACUCUCUCUCUCUAGAAAUCCGAGAUUCAAGGGUUGAUCUUGAGAGUUUCCUCCACCUUUGGUAAGCAUAAUCCAUUUCCUUUAUGAUUAUCUCAAUUAUUUCCACUCAAAUCAUGGAUAUCUUACACAAACUCCAUUAUAUUUGUGUUAGAGCUUCGAAUCUUCAAGCGAUUCUUCUAGUGUUCUUGGGUUGAACACUUCUCUUCUUCAACACUUAUCUACUGAAAUCACACAAGGUGAGUUCAUACCCCUACAUUUUCA
Molecule: long non-coding RNA, 6742 nt
Filed under: Lactuca sativa (garden lettuce)
Lineage: Eukaryota; Viridiplantae; Streptophyta; Magnoliopsida; Asterales; Asteraceae
Description: long non-coding RNA (LSAT_LNC002815)
Source: RNAcentral